AGUGAACGCUGGCGGUAGGCCUAACACAUGCAAGUCGAACGGCAGCACAGUAAGAGCUUGCUCUUACGGGUGGCGAGUGGCGGACGGGUGAGGAAUACAUCGGAAUCUACUUUUUCGUGGGGGAUAACGUAGGGAAACUUACGCUAAUACCGCAUACGACCUACGGGUGAAAGCAGGGGAUCUUCGGACCUUGCGCGAUUGAAUGAGCCGAUGUCGGAUUAGCUAGUUGGCGGGGUAAAGGCUCACCAAGGCGACGAUCCGUAGCUGGUCUGAGAGGAUGAUCAGCCACACUGGAACUGAGACACGGUCCAGACUCCUACGGGAGGCAGCAGUGGGGAACAUUGGACAAUGGGCGCAAGCCUGAUCCAGCCAUACCGCGUGGGUGAAGAAGGCCUUCGGGUUGUAAAGCCCUUUUGUUGGGAAAGAAAAGCAGCAGGUUAAUACCCCGCUGUUCUGACGGUACCCAAAGAAUAAGCACCGGCUAACUUCGUG
RNAcentral lists this ribosomal RNA (492 nucleotides) under uncultured bacterium. RNAcentral's name for it is "partial 16S ribosomal RNA". It matches the Rfam family "Bacterial small subunit ribosomal RNA", at positions 29 to 507 of the family's 1533-position model. The record is from RNAcentral.